This 2101-nucleotide long non-coding RNA is filed under the name Mus musculus (house mouse). RNAcentral's name for it is "long non-coding RNA chr11:57530207-57532308". Lineage: Eukaryota; Metazoa; Chordata; Mammalia; Rodentia; Muridae. The record is from RNAcentral.
UGCAGAGGGCAGCAUUCACCACAGAGUGAGCAUAUGACAACUGACAGCUUGCCCAGUGCUCAGGAAAAGAGCCUGCUAUGAGAAUAUAACAUAAAAUGACCAGGGUCUUCCCGUUAACCUUAAACACACCACAGCAUGAAUUGCCAAAGUCAUUGUGAAAGGGCAGCAUUUUUCUGAUAUUUGGUCAUUUUCCUUAAGGUUGCUGGAGUGAUGUGUGUUAAGAUUGAAAGGUGCCUGGGCCUGAGUAAGACUUCUCUGGUCACAGUUUUUCUUUGGCUCAUGUGUGACACAUUGAAGCCUGAGUUUCCCCAUCAGUAGAAUCAGUGAUUUGUUCUCCUUGAGUUGGGACUUCAACCAAAACUUCUUACCUACUGCACCUCUAAGUCAGCCUUUCACUAGAUCUUUGGUCCAUCCUUUGAGACCUUAUUCUGCACUCUAAUUGUCUACACCAGUGCCAGACAUGGAGAUACUCUGCCCUGGGGAGUGAGCAUGUGCUGGUGCAGAUUUUAAGUGAGGCACCACUUAGUUACACAGAUCUAGAAAGUAAAAAUCACUCUCACGGGGUGUGGUAGCACACAUCUUUAAUUCCAGCACUAGAGAGACAAAGAUGGGCAGAUCCCUGAGUUCCAGGCGCAAAUCCAGGAGAGCCAGAGCUACACUGAGAAACCCUGUCUCAAAAAAAAAAAAAAAAACAAAAAAAGAGGACGAGGAGAAGAAAACCACUCUCUCCAUGAGAAGUGUAUGUAUUCUUCUUGGGAGUACAUCCUUUUUAGCUUACCAAGACCUUUAGUCCAUCGAGGCUGGCCUUGAUGUUCCCAGGGGAAAAUGUAAUUGGUGUUUUGUGAACAAGAACUGUGUCAAGUCACCUCUCUGGAAAUUCAUCAGUUUAGAUACUUUUUAAUAAUGUCUCAGGCUCUCUCUUUUUAGACGUACUAAAUUCCCAGGUGGGCUCUGUGUAGGUCUCGAACUGCAGAAUCCGCUUCAGUGCCCCAUGUCCCUCAACCUGGUGCUAACGGUGAUUCGCCUCUUCUUGUCCUGCUGAGACUCAGUGUCAGUGUUUUGGGUCUUCGGAUGCAUCCUUUUGAGUGAGGGCUCUUUUGUAGCCUUUCUCGAAGCUCCUACCUGAAAUCGGAUGAGAGCACUGUGCUCAGUGCAUAAUUAUAUUAAAACGGGCAAUCCAGACCUAAGGGGGGAAAUGAUAAGGGGUGGUGCUGCCCACCUCAUCCGGGUGCAGUGAGCACUGAAGCUGGCCAGCCCUUCCUGCUGGCUGAGAGUGACGUGACAGAUUGUAAAUAGUCUUAACAAUCGUUUCCUCCACUGCAGGAAGCUCGUGCCAUAGAUUUUUAACCUCAUGGCCGUGGAGCUCAUUGUGAUGCUUCACUGCAUUUGGCUUCUGAUUGUGGGAGAUCUGCUUGAGCUCGAAGGUCCUGAGGGAAAUGUAAAGUGUCAAACAAACAGAGGACAGCAGGAGAUUCAAACUGUAACCAGUGAGCUCAGUGCCUGCCUUUGUCGGGCUCAUCACCUCCACUCUAGACAAUGUGAACGAAUCAGUGUGCACUUUUAUCAAGUGGCAUAUGGAUAAUAUGGUAAUACUGCCUUUUCUGUCUCUCAGGCUGUUUCCAUGGAAACUUCCAGGGCCAAACAAAAGCUUCCAAUCAUUCAACCAAAAGCUUGCCUUGGCUCAGAGAUGUGAGUUUCUUUAAGGAAAGCUGUUUUCCUAUAUUUGGCUGUAGAAUAAGGGCUCUUACACAUAUCCUAAGUUACAGAACAUGAUUUCCCUUCCUACUGUUCUCUGGACAUGGUAAAUUUUUAAAAAUCUCUUCUGUGGGGGUCAGUCUCCUGAAUUUCCCUCAUAUCUGCAGUCCUUCGCCUGAUAAAGCAAGGUUGGGGUCACUUCUUACAAUGAAGCCUUUUGCCUUAAAUACUGGUUUUACCCCCACGUUUCCUAGAAGGGACAUUGUCUUGAACUUCAAGGUAGACAUAUUGAAUGACCAGAGUUUUAGAAAAUGAUACUUUGCAAAAAAUGGAAAAUAUCAAAACAGUUGGGUAAGCUUAUAGAAUUUAUAUAGGCCACUCCACCGUAGCCUAGGUCAGUCAUCAC